UAUGUGAUCGUCUCUCGCAUAUCAAUAAGCGGAGGAAAAGAAACUAACAAGGAUUCCCCUAGUAACGGCGAGUGAAGCGGGAAGAGCUCAAAUUUGAAAUCUUAAAGGGUUUCCCUUUACGAAUUGUAGUUUAAAGAAGUGUUUUCUGUUGAGGUUUUGGUAAAAGUUCUUUGGAAUAGGACAUCAUAGAGGGUGAGAAUCCCGUAUUUGACCUUUACUUUCAACUUUGUGAUACACUUUCAAAGAGUCGGAUUGUUUGGGAAUGCAGUCCAAAAUGGGUGGUAAAUUUCAUCUAAAGCUAAAUAUUGGCGAGAGACCGAUAGCGAACAAGUACCGUGAGGGAAAGAUGAAAAGAACUUUGAAAAGAGAGUUAAACAGUACGUGAAAUUGUCAAUAGGGAAGCGUUUGACACCAGUGUUGUUUUUUCUGAAAAUCAAUUAAAGAACUGUUUAUGCUAAGUUGUUUAGACUUUAUCAGCUAACUGUUUAGUUUUGAGCUUUUCUUUAAUGCACUUUUCAGUUAACAAGUCAACAUCAAUUUCUUUUGCUGUAAAAAAGCUUGAGGAAGGUGGCUUGAGAUUCGUCUUAAGUGUUUAUAGCCUCUUGCCUAUGCAGUCGGAGAGAUUGAGGUCUGCAGCGUAGAUCCUUCGGGGCUAAAUGCAUUUGCGCUAAGUUAUAGCAUUUUAUAGACAACUUGUUGACUAUGAUUUGUCUUGUAGCUUACUCGCUUAUGUUAUUUUACCUACGCUUAGGAUGUUGAGUCAUCACACAUCUCU
RNAcentral lists this ribosomal RNA (775 nucleotides) under uncultured Neocallimastigales. RNAcentral's name for it is "partial large subunit ribosomal RNA". It matches the Rfam family "Eukaryotic large subunit ribosomal RNA", at positions 24 to 614 of the family's 3401-position model. Lineage: Eukaryota; Fungi; Neocallimastigomycota; Neocallimastigomycetes; Neocallimastigales. The record is from RNAcentral.